UACGUAGGGGGCAAGCGUUAUCCGGAUUUACUGGGUGUAAAGGGAGCGCAGGCGGCGCGGCAAGUCUGAUGUGAAAGCCCGGGGCUCAACCCCGGGACUGCAUUGGAAACUGUCGCGCUCGAGUGUCGGAGAGGUAAGUGGAAUUCCUAGUGUAGCGGUGAAAUGCGUAGAUAUCAGGAGGAACAUCGGUGGCGAAAGCGCUUUACUGGACCAUUAUUGACGCUGAGGAACGAAAGCCAGGGGAGCAAAUGGG
RNAcentral lists this ribosomal RNA (253 nucleotides) under uncultured Lachnospiraceae bacterium. RNAcentral describes it as "partial 16S ribosomal RNA". It matches the Rfam family "Bacterial small subunit ribosomal RNA", at positions 524 to 776 of the family's 1533-position model. Lineage: Bacteria; Bacillati; Bacillota; Clostridia; Lachnospirales; Lachnospiraceae. The record is from RNAcentral.